Long non-coding RNA from Equus caballus (horse), 8930 nucleotides. Lineage: Eukaryota; Metazoa; Chordata; Mammalia; Perissodactyla; Equidae. The record is from Ensembl.
UGGAAAGACAAGGUCAGGCCGAAUUAGGUUUACACAAAAUGGCUCCCUCAUAUUCUCCAAUAUAUCCUAUUGCUUGCCAUUUUUAUUUGUCACUCUCCCGUCUUUUAAAGCAGUCGGUGUUGCAGGUGCUCAGCGUGAGGGAAUGACUGCCUCCACGUGGAGAGCGGCAAGCAGCAGGGAAGAUCAAAGCCCCUCACGGGCACCAGGCACCCGGCCCCUCAGCCUGGGCAGCUGCCCAGCCUAACGUGAGCAUAGCGAGCUGCCUUUCCUACCUGGAUGAACCAUAACCCAUGUUUCAGAUUCCAGCACUUUGGAGGGCUUCCAUCUCUCCAGUUCCAAGCGAAGCGCGAAAGCUCUGCUUCCGACGGGAUUUAGAAGAGGCCGGUUAACGACGACCAGCCAGGACGCGGAGCAGUCUUUUCCGACCUCGCUGCUUCGCCCUCCCUUUACGCUGACUUUAAGAGCUUCAAGUCACGGUGGUCAUGAGUGCUACACUGAAGGACACCACAUGUCACCAAUCCUAAACUAGUAAGCAAUUUCUGGUUAUUAAGGAGUUUUUGAGCAGAAGGAAACCUGUGGCACCAGAAGCCUUCCCGUCUGCAAGUCGUUCAGUGGAAGGAAGCAGGACAGGGAAAGAAGGCUCGACAGACAACUUCCCCGUUGGCCUUCCAGCCUUCCCUGGACCCAUGUGCAUGUCCAACCUGGCCUCUUCUCAGGGAACGUUCACUAUCCGCGCAACAGAAUAAGAAAUAAGACAGUUGAUGGAACUGUCCUCAUAGAACGCAAACUCUGCCAUCAUUUCAAGCACGCUGGAUGGAGAGGAUUAAGGGCAGGACCCAUAUUUCACACCUUUGCUUCCUGGGGAAUGAGGCUGCCUAAGAGAGAGGCAUGACCAGCUACUGCUCUUUUCCACAAGCUGCGUGUGCAAUUGUGUUAUCAUUCAACAGAAGUUCAAAGUAGGAAAAUAUCUUAUUACAGGUGGGGACACUCCAAGAAAUUUCUGGAUUGUUAGAGUGAACAGAAAUAUUCAGAAACGAGCCUGUUUACCUUAAAAUAUCUGAAUGCCAGAUGCAAAAUGUUUGAACAUAAGUCCCUCACUUAAUAAGCAGAGAUGAACACAGUCUUGUGGUCACUGACAAGAAAGGGGUGGAUUUAUUUGAUAAGAACUGCAGAUGAGUACUCUUCCUGGGUGAGAGAAGUUCGGAUGGACUGCAGACUCCAAACCAACAACAUAAGCGCCAUCAGAAGCCUUGUAAAUGGUAUCAACAAUACAAGAUGGGCUUUAAAAAAAUACCGAAUAGGCCUCCUAAAAGAAUAACGUUUUACCACCAAAUUCCCUCGGUCCAGGGCCGCAGGAGAAUGUGCCUCUACUAGAUGCCUGUAACAUUUCCCCCUUCGCUUCUCAGGCUGGAGAGGCUCCACAGCCAUCUCCAGUGACCGUCCCCUCCAGGCCUGAUGCUGCACACAGUCACCGAUUCUAACAGCUUUCUCUCUUUUAUCUUCCAUAAGGUUAAGGGUUUCCAAAAGCCAUUAGGACCCAAGAGAGUAAAACCAACCAAACGAAGAAGCAUAAAAUCUCCACAAACAUAAGGAAUCUGCAUGGUUAAAUUUCUUCUCCAAAGUCGCCUGCACCCCAAUUCCAUGUGGCUCUGCCUUCGGUAGGCACCCGUUAGACGCCUCUGCUCUCCCCUUCCGGGGAGAGUAACAGAAUCCCCCGUCUGCUGAGCCGCUUGUGCAUUUCGUGGGAAGCGUAGGAUGCUGUGACCUCCUUCAGAAUUCUGUACUAACUUUUUACGGGGGAAGCCUCCUGCUUCCAAUGUCUAGAACUGUGGAAUCUCUAAAUAUGCUUUCUUUUUUUGUCACGGUCUUCCUCUUUCCAGUUUCUUAACAUGGUUUUGGUUUCACUCCUCAGUCUUUCUCUUCGGUUUUGCCUGCGACUUCUGCUGUACAAAUUUAAUCGUAAGAACAGCCAGACUUCUGUAGCACUGACUCUGCCAGCACUCAGCCAGCCUCACGGCCUCUCUCUGUGGGAGGGUCAUGACUGUCGUCUCCAUCUUCAAAGUGAGAGAUGGAGUCAGGGAGGUUAGACACCCGGCUCCAGGGGGCAGCACUGAGCAGCGCAGAGCCCUGACUCCAUGGCAGCCCGCUGCUUCCAAAUCCUGCUUCUGCCUGCCCCGCAGCGCUCCCACCUACCCGCUUCCCUCUGGAGGGUGUUGUCCUCUGUGCCUUUGGUCCUGGGUCAUUUUAUCCCCCCGUGUUUAGAGUCUUCAAUUCUCAUAAAAAAACAGAAAUAAGUGCUAAAAUAUUUGGAAGCCCUUUUUAACUUUUCUGGGGUGAGAUAUUUUCCAGCUCUAUCACCAUGGACUUAACAGUCCCCGAACCCCAGGAGCCUCCCUGAUGUGCAAUCCGGGGAUUUUAAUAACCGCCCUGCGCUGUUAUCAUGACAGCAGAUAUUACACAAGCACAGCGGGGCCCAUUCAUCCAGCUGCUGCGAUGGGCCUUCCUACUCGGCUCCCUAACUCCAGAAUCUUAAUGGUCAGUGAGGGUCCAUCCAGUCCAAGAAUCUAUUUAUUAGUACCUGGAGAGGAUCUUGAUUUUAGAACUUUGGGAAUACAAAAUUUUUUUUUGAGAAUCAUCACGUUCUCUGUUUAAUUACAUACAGGUUCUUAUUCAUAAAAUACACCUAUCAGUUUAUCGCCUCGGCUCCAAGUUCACUCUCCAGUACCCGCUCUGGGAUAUCGGCAGGGCGCUUUUCGGUCCUGGUGACUCCUGGGAACAUGGAUGCUCACAUUCCUUCACCCUGUGACCCCUCCUGUGUAGGACACUGCAGGAUGCAGCUCCUCUUCAUGAAACCAGUUUCUUAACCUUUUGCAGUGUCAGAAAUGCUGGAAAAGAAAGCCAUAAAAUUAUGGUGAUAGUCAGUGGAAGACAGUGAGACAUUUUAAAAUCCAUAGUUCCUGAAGGACAAAUCAUGAAUGUCCAUGCAUUCGAGCUCUCUGUUGACUGAGAAUGGCUAUUUAUCUCCCACAGGGAGGAGCCGGUGAGGAGCCACGGAGAGUGGAGAAUAAGCCUUAGCCUGGGGGACCUGCCGAAGGAGCGGGUGGUGCGUGGGUGAGGGGAGCCCCCUUCCCUUUGCCUCUCUCGCCAGCCCCGCGUGGCUCCUGACCGCUCUCGGAUGACUCUCCUCUGGUAGCACGAUGUCCCACGUGCUCCUUUCUGCUCCUGCAAAACAGCUACGCAGUGGGCACACUAGAGCAUGGCCCUGCCUUAAACACUCUGUAAAUGAGAAAGACGGGGAAGAAACAUCCGUCUCUGGCUUACGUCACGGAAGAAUUAUGGUGAAAAACAUGGCAUAAGGAGAUUCGCGUUUUUUCCUAGGACAGUAUUCCCUCUGCUGGUGAAAGCCUGGAACUUCCCCCACGAAUGCAGCUUUAUAAAGAAGCAGCCGACCGGGACUGUCGUUUCUGUAUUCCAGGGAACACUUGGCGUUUUCUUGCACACCACGUGUUGUUUUUAGAGUCUGACAAAACCUCCAAGGAAAUCACCAGUUACGUCUUUUUUUAUUUUCCUACAUAUUCAAUUCUGAAGUUUUCUCUUCCCCAAACGAAAGCUUCGUGUCUGAGGAGAGACUGCGUUUAUUUACUAAAUGAGCAUCUCUCUCCCAGGGUGUGGUUUAUUUUCCAUAGAGCCCAACGUUAUGAUUUAGAAGGAAGCUCUCCCAGUGUGGUCCCUGGAGAUGCUCUCUUGGUCUCACAGAGAAUUAAAGUGCAAUUGUGUCCCAGAGGCGAAAAGUGAUAGAUAUCUGUGUCCAAUUCAGUCGACUUAAUAAGAUCCUUGUGACCUACACUUGAGGCUGUCCUACUCAUUUCUGCCUUCGGAGGAAGCUUACGUCAGCGGUCCUGGAGGAAGCGGCCUGUUCUAGUGACUCACCUGGGAAAGCCGCGAGGAGACGCCUCCUUGGGCUCAAAGAGGAUGCCAGAGCCCUCCAAGGGUCACACAGCUAACACUAGUGUGAUUUUUGCACUGAUAUUUAACACACUAAGAAAGUAAGAAAUAAAUGUAAAUAGAAGAAAAAGGAAAUUGACUUGGAUUAGACUCCUCUCAACAUUUUGAUGAAGGCACUGGGGUAAAUAAUUAAAGCAGUAGAUUUACCGGCAAUUUUCAGAGUAGUACCUGAAUACCGUUCCUACCCUGGAGGGCUUGCAUCCUGUGUUACCCGAGGAAAUGUUUCAAUGUAUCCUUACAGCUCGCCAACAGUCACUCCAAACUCAACUUCCGAUUAAUUCUGACAGCGCGGGGUCCCCUUUCCACUUUCUGUUUUUAAUUGUUUUUCCUCCUGUGUUUUGAGUUGAAUAUUCACUUUCUCCUAAAACUGAGAUUAUUUUGAAGAGUGUUAAAAGGUAAAUUUCAAAAAUGGUUAAAAUCAUGACUCUCAUGGAGAUAAAAAUGAGCAGAUGUUAGAGAUUUUAUUCUGCUCAUUAACCAGUGAGGGAACCAGGCAGAUGUCAUACCUGGUUUAAAAGAGAAUCUGAAGAAAUGGUGCAUUUAUAAAUCAGGAAUAUUGAAGUGAAUGUGCAAAUGGAGGCAAAGUUGGUUUUUGAACACGAGGAGACAGGACAUUAAUUGAACCUCUACCGGGCAGGGCACAAUUUGCAUGUCAACAGACAAGAGUUAUUUUGCACUGUUACUACUUAUCUUUGAUUUACAGAGUUGCAGAAGAGCUCAAGGCCGGAAAAGACUAGGAUCAGAGAGUCCUGCAGUGUUCUAGGGCCUAGACAAUGCAUGGUUUUCCAGUGAAGCACAACUUUUUUCCUACAAGAAAAAAUAAUUUUCUGCUUGAGGCUCUUUCUAUCAAUUUUCUUAGAAAACAGGCAGAUCCAACGCUUGGUAUGCAACCUCUGGGUUUCUGUGUCGGAUUCUUCUUGUUUCUCUCACACAGCAUUUAGUGAACCUCCAUGAGAAAUUGCUAAGUACACGUAUGAGAUAGUCCGCACUUCGAGAGUCCCCCCAACAAUGAAGUUUUAUUUAACUACGUGAAAUAUCCAAUUUUCUCUUGUUCCUUAGCAUUCUUUCUAUUUGUUUAGCAAAUAUUUACCAGUCACCCACUCGCCCAGCGUCAGGGCUAAGAAAACAGAAGUAGAUCGACAGGGGGACCGAGGCAAGCAAUGAGCUCAAAUACAACAGACAGGAAUUUUCUUCCAGAAACUCAGAGGUCCAAGAAAUACCAACAUACGUUAUUUUCUUUAAAUCAAAGAAUCUGAAUCUGAGACCCAGAUACCUGAUUGGCAGAUAAUUUAAUCUCAGUCAUUAUCCAGCUUCCUUGGGGUCAUGGGAAGGCCCAAGGAUUAUAAAAAAGCAAAAUAUUUGUGGGGUUUGUCUGUGGUCUUUGGUCCCACAGGGAAAAUUGUGCAAGACUGUGUAGUUUAGUAGGCAUUCUGACUGGCUUGUCCCUGUGGGUCGUCUCUGCUGUCGGUUGUCUUUGACUAGGUUAUUUGACAGCUCCAUAGAGAUAGAUGUUAACUUGUAGAGCAUGAAUAAUAACCCAAAUGUUUCCUGGGCAUAGCUAAGCAAAUGGUUCCUGUUCAUGGCAAUGCAAAUUAGUUUUGUUUGAUAGAGAAUAUAAAUCUCUGGAAGUCAAAUUUCCAUUUGAACUGAUUGUUAUAUAUCUUACUGGUUCCCUUAUAAAUUAUUGAGUUAAAUGAAAUCCUUGAUGUACUCAUGUUACAUUUGUAUGUGAAUUAUGAUUUUUCCCUCUUGUAAAAUGUGUCCUGUUUCAUUCCCACUAAGAUGUUGCCCUGAAGGUCACAUGUCGUUUGAGUUGGCUCUCCUGCCUCAGCAGGGACGAGAGUCCUGGCAGGGAUCUGUGGUUUCAGGGCUCCCACGUGGUUGUGCAGAGUUGGUAGUACUCGAUUCUAGGGGGCGCCAUUCACAUAGGCCAAGAGUAAAAUUUUCCCUUAGUAAACAUGCUGCAGGCUGUUGGUCUCUGUCAUGACCACUCAACUCUGCCCUGGUUGCUCAAGAGCAGCCACAGACAACACACUGAUGAAUCGAGGUGGUCGUGUUCCGAAAAAGCUUCAUUUACAGAAACAGGCAGAAGCCCGCAGGCUUAGUUCACCAGCUCCUGACGUACACUGCAGUAGCCUGUCUGAAAUCCUUGGAAAACUCUAAGAGAGUGAGAAGUAGGGGCUCACCAUUUACAUUUCUUUUUCCCCUGUGCCCUACUUGCCCUGCAAAAGGCACUGGUUUUUUUUGUUUCUCUUUAUCCUCUAGCAUAAUUUUCUCAAAAAGUCUAGUCUUUUGAAAACAAAAGAUGGGGGGGAAACUGUUGGAACAUUUCGCUUUAGCCCAUAGUGUCCCUGAAUCACAGGACAAGAAGACUGCUACCAUGAUGUAAAAGGAGAGGAAAAACACAAGAUCAAAACACUCAUUGAUAAAUUAUCUGGUCACAAGGAUAAGACCUAUUUCUUCUAUAAUCGUUAUUAUUAUUUUUUUUUUUUACAAUUUUCUUACUUUUAUGAAGUGCUAUGGUUUUUCAAAGCAUUUUUCAACAUGUACUCAGACAUAGCCAGCAAAGCAAGAAGAGCUAAGUCAGCUGUCUUCUAGUCAAUGUUCAACAACUGGCUAAAGACUUAAACUACGUCAGAAAAGGCCAUUGGCUUCCAUCUGGUGCUUCUGGGAUGCUUGCUGUGAAGGAAACUUGCUCCCCUGUAGGAAAUCGGACUACCCCGCAUCCACCUUGCUGGAGGGAACACAUAUAGGGACUUUGGUAGAUGGACACCAUCACCUGCAAGACAUACGUGCAAGCUGUCUUGGACAUCCAGGCCGGUUAAGCCUUCAGACAACUGUCGCAUCAACUGAUGUCCCAUUGCCACUAUAUGAGGAACCCCAAAUGAGAACUGCCCAGGCGGGCCAUUCAUGAAUUCCUGACCCACAUAACUGUGAGCAAAAUGAAUGAUUAUUGUUUCAUGUCACCAAUUUUUAGAUUAAUUUGUUAUUUGGCAAUAGGAACUGUAACAGGAAGAAAGCAACAGUGUUUGGAGAGUCAUCGCACACGGAGAGUGAAAGAGAGAGAGGAGCCAGAGAGGAUUCUAGACACUGAAUCUUUUAGAAAAUAAUUUUGUCAUCUCGGGGAGCAGGAAAGUGAGUUGAAACAAAAUGAAGGAGGGAAGACGAUGCAGAUGAUCUUGAGUACAUUAAAUUUCGAGCGUGUCUUCGUCAGUUCAGCCUGCUGUAAGAUAAUCCCACAGAUUGGGUGCCUUAAACCACAGAAACUUACUUCUCACAGUUCCGGAAGCUAGGAAAUCUAAUCAAGGCAUAGGCAGAUCCAGUGUCUGCUGACAUCCUGCUUCCUGCUUUGCCCAUGGCCGUCUUCUCAUUGUAUCCUCACAGGUCAAACAGAGAGAGAGAGCCAGAGAGCAAGCUCUGGCGUCUCUUCUUAUAAGAGCACUGUGAGGUUGUGAGUUACAAUAAGAAAAUACAGUAAGAGUAUUCGGUCUUCGUCCCUGUUCCUGGUACAGAGCUCCUAAAGCCCUUAUACUUUCCUAAGUGAUAGAGCAAUGACGGUGUCUUCUCUUAUUCAGAACAAGCCCCUUUCAACCACACACGAGUUCUGUUAAUGAGGUGAUUUUUGGAAAGCCCCUACGUUUGGGGGCUGGUUCCCAGGGGAACCAAUCCCCUGAUUAGAGGGUUAGAACUUUCAGCCCCCCACCCCGUCCUCCAGGAAAGGGAGAGAAGCUGGGUUUCUCUUCUGUACACAUGUUGUUAAACCUUGAUUUUUUUCCUGUCAUUCUGUCUCGCAUCAAUGUAAUUCUUAGGCCGGCCAGAAGGACCUAGAGGGGAGAGGAAUUGUCUCCCUUCUCUACAGCUUCAUAUGAGCCACGGAGGCUUGAAUCACAUGUCACUGUGGCAAAAUCGCUAGAUUUCAUACAUUUUCUUUUAAAAAUGUCAACGACUAAGGUAUUUUCUUUCAUUGAAGAAUUACUGCACAUACAUGACAAAAAUUCAAAUAGUUCAAAAGAGUGUAUUAUGACCAAGGGAAGCUCUCCUCUCAUUUCAGACCCCUUUCUCCUUUACCAAGGCAUCCACUAUAAAGAGUUUCUUGUGGAUCUUUCGAAAUAUAUUCUGUACUUAUGCAAACUUAUAUAGGUGUAUGUAUAGACACAUAGACAUCCAGUGUUUACCCGAAUAUGUUCUUUGUCUUGAUGCACCUGAGAGACUAUUCCUUUCAGAUCUACUCUGGUCUUUUCAUGGUGGCACAGCUUUCUAACGUAGGACAGGGCCAGUAUCCCAUGUAUAUAGUAUAACAUAUAGAUGACUCUAUAUUAUGUUUAACAUGUUUCUUAUUGAUGAGCAUUUAGGCUGCUUUAAAAUUUUUUUAAAUUACAACUGCAAUUAGCAUGUGUGUAUAUACAUAUUCCAUACAUGCAUGCAUAUAAGUAUAUAUAUCAGUGUAUGGAUAUGAGAGUUUAACUAUAGCAUAAACUUCUAAAACUGGAAGGGCUAGGUUAAAGGGCAUAUGCAUUCUAUAUUUUUAAAAGAUAAUAUCAAAUUGUCCCUCAAGGAGAUUUUACUAGCUUCAUUCUCACUGCCUAUUUUCUCACAUCCUUACCAAUUAAUGUUAUCAUUGAAUAAAUUAUUUUUACCAUUCUCAUUGGUGAAAAAUUAUGUCAUUGCUCUAAUUUGCAUUUCCUUAAUUAUUAGGUCGGUUUAGUUCUUUUAAUACAUUUUUGGCCAGUUAUAUUUCCUUUUCCCUGAACUUACCCAUUUUUAAUAGAUUUUCAAGGGUCCUUGUGUAUUCGGGACUAUUAAUCAUGAGGCCUUCAGUUGUAAAUAAGUCUACUGCUCAGUUGGGCGGAGGGUGGGGGGCAAUGGAGGCACAUUCCUGCCAUCUCACCAUGUGGGGACAAGUGAAUGAAGCAGGGGACCAUAAA